UAAACGAUGAGUGCUAAGUGUUGGAGGGUUUCCGCCCUUCAGUGCUGCAGCUAACGCAUUAAGCACUCCGCCUGGGGAGUACGACCGCAAGGUUGAAACUCAAAGGAAUUGACGGGGGCCCGCACAAGCGGUGGAGCAUGUGGUUUAAUUCGAAGCAACGCGAAGAACCUUACCAGGUCUUGACAUCCUUUGACCACUCUAGAGAUAGAGCUUCCCCUUCGGGGGCAAAGUGACAGGUGGUGCAUGGUUGUCGUCAGCUCGUGUCGUGAGAUGUUGGGUUAAGUCCCGCAACGAGCGCAACCCUUAUUGUUAGUUGCCAUCAUUCAGUUGGGCACUCUAGCAAGACUGCCGGUGACAAACCGGAGGAAGGUGGGGAUGACGUCAAAUCAUCAUGCCCCUUAUGACCUGGGCUACACACGUGCUACAAUGGGAAGUACAACGAGUUGCGAAGUCGCGAGGCUAAGCUAAUCUCUUAAAGCUUCUCUCAGUUCGGAUUGCAG
RNAcentral lists this ribosomal RNA (500 nucleotides) under Enterococcus faecium. Its description in RNAcentral is "bacterial SSU rRNA". It matches the Rfam family "Bacterial small subunit ribosomal RNA", at positions 803 to 1303 of the family's 1533-position model. The record is from RNAcentral. Lineage: Bacteria; Bacillati; Bacillota; Bacilli; Lactobacillales; Enterococcaceae.